This 1486-nucleotide ribosomal RNA is filed under the name Enterococcus durans. RNAcentral describes it as "bacterial SSU rRNA". It matches the Rfam family "Bacterial small subunit ribosomal RNA". The record is from RNAcentral. Lineage: Bacteria; Bacillati; Bacillota; Bacilli; Lactobacillales; Enterococcaceae.
AGGACGAACGCUGGCGGCGUGCCUAAUACAUGCAAGUCGUACGCUUCUUUUUCCACCGGAGCUUGCUCCACCGGAAAAAGAAGAGUGGCGAACGGGUGAGUAACACGUGGGUAACCUGCCCAUCAGAAGGGGAUAACACUUGGAAACAGGUGCUAAUACCGUAUAACAAUCGAAACCGCAUGGUUUUGAUUUGAAAGGCGCUUUCGGGUGUCGCUGAUGGAUGGACCCGCGGUGCAUUAGCUAGUUGGUGAGGUAACGGCUCACCAAGGCCACGAUGCAUAGCCGACCUGAGAGGGUGAUCGGCCACAUUGGGACUGAGACACGGCCCAAACUCCUACGGGAGGCAGCAGUAGGGAAUCUUCGGCAAUGGACGAAAGUCUGACCGAGCAACGCCGCGUGAGUGAAGAAGGUUUUCGGAUCGUAAAACUCUGUUGUUAGAGAAGAACAAGGAUGAGAGUAACUGUUCAUCCCUUGACGGUAUCUAACCAGAAAGCCACGGCUAACUACGUGCCAGCAGCCGCGGUAAUACGUAGGUGGCAAGCGUUGUCCGGAUUUAUUGGGCGUAAAGCGAGCGCAGGCGGUUUCUUAAGUCUGAUGUGAAAGCCCCCGGCUCAACCGGGGAGGGUCAUUGGAAACUGGGAGACUUGAGUGCAGAAGAGGAGAGUGGAAUUCCAUGUGUAGCGGUGAAAUGCGUAGAUAUAUGGAGGAACACCAGUGGCGAAGGCGGCUCUCUGGUCUGUAACUGACGCUGAGGCUCGAAAGCGUGGGGAGCAAACAGGAUUAGAUACCCUGGUAGUCCACGCCGUAAACGAUGAGUGCUAAGUGUUGGAGGGUUUCCGCCCUUCAGUGCUGCAGCUAACGCAUUAAGCACUCCGCCUGGGGAGUACGACCGCAAGGUUGAAACUCAAAGGAAUUGACGGGGGCCCGCACAAGCGGUGGAGCAUGUGGUUUAAUUCGAAGCAACGCGAAGAACCUUACCAGGUCUUGACAUCCUUUGACCACUCUAGAGAUAGAGCUUCCCCUUCGGGGGCAAAGUGACAGGUGGUGCAUGGUUGUCGUCAGCUCGUGUCGUGAGAUGUUGGGUUAAGUCCCGCAACGAGCGCAACCCUUAUUGUUAGUUGCCAUCAUUUAGUUGGGCACUCUAGCAAGACUGCCGGUGACAAACCGGAGGAAGGUGGGGAUGACGUCAAAUCAUCAUGCCCCUUAUGACCUGGGCUACACACGUGCUACAAUGGGAAGUACAACGAGUCGCGAAGUCGCGAGGCUAAGCUAAUCUCUUAAAGCUUCUCUCAGUUCGGAUUGUAGGCUGCAACUCGCCUACAUGAAGCCGGAAUCGCUAGUAAUCGCGGAUCAGCACGCCGCGGUGAAUACGUUCCCGGGCCUUGUACACACCGCCCGUCACACCACGAGAGUUUGUAACACCCGAAGUCGGUGAGGUAACCUUUUGGAGCCAGCCGCCUAAGGUGGGAUAGAUGAUUGGGGUGAA